This is a non-coding RNA of Nelumbo nucifera (sacred lotus), 1788 nucleotides long. NCBI's taxonomy places the organism in Eukaryota, Viridiplantae, Streptophyta, Magnoliopsida, Proteales, Nelumbonaceae. The record is from RefSeq and is a predicted model, not a curated record.
UGGAAGCAGCAUUGCAACCAGGGCCUUUGGGUAUUGGGGGUGUUUUAAGGGAUGAGAAAGGGAAAAUAACUGCUUUGUUCUCAAGCUCAAUUGAAGAGGGUGGCUCUCUUAGAGGCUAGAGCAGAGAUUUUGGUGGCUUUAGAAGGUGUUCAGAGAGCUAAGGACUUAAACUUGAGGAAGCUGAUCAUCGAAGGAGAUUCUAAACUGGUGGUAGAUUGGCUGAAGGGAAACAAAACCGGCCUGUGGAUGUACAGCAAUCGGAAGAAAAAAUUCAAGUGGCUGACAAAAUAUAUGAAAGUUAAAGUAGAUUGGGUUAAGAGAUGUGCAAACUCCUUUGCUGAUGGGUUAGCAAAGCAAGGGGUGAAUAGGGAUAACUUGUUUUGGGUUCACUGUAACUUUUCUGCAUUGUUUCUGGUUUGGGGGAGAUAAGAGAGGUUAUCUCCCCUUUGUAUUCCUUUUUUCUAAUUAAUGAAAUCCUUUGUUAUUGAUAAGAAAAGUGUUGGUAUCUUUGUAAAUAGGCAGCUAGUGUUGGUGUUCUCUUUAAAGUUUGGUUCAUUUCUAUGUGGCAAUCACACCUUUGGAAGAUAGGAGUGUUUGUGUUAGUGGGAUUGUUGUUGUAGGGGCAGUAACAAGCUCAUUCCAAUUUACCCAACACACUUGGAGAACUCAAUUGUUUAUAAUUUGUUUGAGUGCUAUGGGGAUAUACAACAGGGGUAGCCCAUCCACCACCUCUUACCCCCCAACCUUGGUGACGGCAGGACUUGAAGUUUCUGCUACAACCAGCAAGAGAACUUACCAACUGAGCCAGUUGGCACCGUCAUUUGUUACAAUUGACUUUUGUGAUAUAUAAGUUGAUGAUGGUGUACUGUUGUUAGUGGUGCCCUUUAUGAAUAUGACGAGUUAAAGGAAAUGGUAGUCAAGGAGGUUUCUUGACUCUUCCGCCAUGUCAACAUCGAGUUGCUGCCUUCUCUUGUUGAGAAAUUUCUCUCAUACCUGGCGGCUGGCACUAGUAAAGAAGGAAACCAGGGACAUGGCUUGCCAUCAGAGCUGGGAAAAACUGUUGGUGCAAGUACCAUCCGGACCAUUAUUGAAUGGUGACUGUGUUGAGAGAACACUCUUGGAAAAAUUCAUGUCUUCCAUAAUGAGAGUAUAAAGAAGGACAUGUGCAGGGGCAAGCCAAAAAGAAUGCUUGGGUUAGUUGCAUCUAGCCUUUGUAAAUUUCCAAGGUAAAACACAACAGCUUAUGGAAAUAUGGAGGAACCUACAGAAAGGCAGAAGGCCAAAAAGAAUGUCCAGUUUACGGGUUUGGUUGCAUCUUGUCCUUUGUAAAGUUCCAAGGUAAAACGCAACAGCUUGUGGUAAACAUGGAGGAACCUACAGAUAAGCAGAAGGUAUGCUCUUUUAUUUUCUUAUUUAUAAUAUCAUUCUCUUUGGUUGUGUUAUUAACCAUAACCUACAGAUAAGCAGAAGGAAGCUAUUGGUUCUAUGGUUAGAAGCCAUCAGUGGGUACUAUUAUUGCUAAUUGAGUGACUAAUGAAAAAUAAUUGCCAAUGGAAUGAUUUUACUUGUUUACAAGUCUUUAAUUAAGAGUUCUGCAAUGUGGCUGUUUGUUGAGUUUAGGUUGCUUUCUUUUGUUGUUGAGAGGAGUGUUUAUGUCUUUUUAUGUUUUGUUAGGCUUUUGUUUAUUUGACAGGUUGGGUCUUUCUUUUUAUAUCUGUUUUAUACUUUUAUUUGAGUGUGGGCUUCAUGUAUUGGGCCAGCUUAGGCCCAUCUUUCUUUUGUUUUAAU